RNAcentral lists this long non-coding RNA (1946 nucleotides) under Homo sapiens (human). Its description in RNAcentral is "HSALNT0132336". Lineage: Eukaryota; Metazoa; Chordata; Mammalia; Primates; Hominidae. The record is from RNAcentral.
CUUUUGCUUUAAUAGUGUAAAUGAAACAAUAGGAUUGUAAUAGAGGACAUAGUGUAAUAAAUGCAACAAGUGAACUGGAGCAGAUUUUACAGGGACGCCAAAAAGGAGGCAGCUUCCUUCAUAGGAGAGUGUAAAAGAAAAAGAGGAAAUGUUCUUGAUAGGAUAAAUAGGUUAUUUCAACCUGUUAGGAGGUCGAAGGUAGAAUGGCUUCUUGAAAUGAGGAUAAAAGUUAAACAACGAAUAGCAUAGAAUGAAAUAUGCAGAGCAUAUUAGGAGAAUAACAUGCUCCUAAUUUUUAAUUGCUUUAUAACAGCAUUUUGCUAAACAAUAUUUUUUAUCUGUUGACAGUUUUCUUUUCUCUUGAACUUUAAAAUUGUUUAUUUAAUGAUUAUGGGUAUAUGUAUGCAUGUGAGCAUGUAUGUGUGCAUUUUUCUCUUUUUUAGUAUUUUCCCGGACCGGGGUAGCUUCUGGCCUUCAGAGCCCAAAUGCCCUCCCAUUUUCGACUGAAGAAAGAAAAGGACGAAUCCCUUCAAACACGAUCUCUUUCAUGAGCUCUUUGAUAGACUCUUUUUCUCCUCCUCUGCGCCAAAAUGAAUCCAACAGAAUUUCCGUGGCUCCCUCUCCUUACCCUGACCCCAUGUUAAUUGUUGCAACAAACGUUGCAACUCCAGUGUGAGCCAGAAGACAUGGAUGUCAUCGGGGGUCCCCAGUGUCUGAGGAAAGGAGAGGGGAAGGAUGACCCGUCACGGUUCAGAAGACAGAGACAAGCCUGCAAGUGUGCAAAGAGGGAAAAGACUGCAGGAAAUUCCACUUGAAAUGGGCCAUAAAAGUGCAUCUUUUGUAAUAUUUCAAUGUCUCUCUCAAUAUUUCCUCUAAUCACAACUUUCCAGUUUCAAGAACAAACCUCACUCCUUACUGACCAGUCUCAAUAUUUGUUUGUUUUCUAUAAAUUAAAAUCCAGUGUGUUGUCUUUAUCUGCAAUCCCUUCAUUAGUUCUUGUCUCUAAAAUCAACAUACUAUCAUAGUUAUCAAGACCAUGGGGUCAACCAAGAAACUGAUAGUAGCAUGUGUCGUCUAAAGAUGAGUGCUGAUAACUGGAAGGUCAGGUUUGAAAAACCCUUGUAAUCUGUCUGAGAAUUGAUUUGUCUGUAGCAAGCUCCCAUAACUUUUGAAGUGGAAACAUUAAAACUCUAAAACAAGAUCAGUCUAAACCAGGGAUUGACACUGUUUCAGAAUUAGGAUGCCAAGAUGCUGAGCACAUUCUUUUCCUAUCCUGCUGGCCGGGGAGCUAACACCACAAACAGUUUCCCCUUUUCCACAAUAAGCUUUCACCAUUCAUCAGGAUGCCGUUGACUGGAACAUGUUUCUCCCAUAAAUGCACAUGAUUGUGCUUUACUUCUACGUGGAGGCAUCAUUAAUGCCCUAAGGGAAUAUGAACUUUAGUGGAGGAUAGGGCACUGGAGUAGGUAAAUUUACUUUAGUGGGUAACUUUUGUUAAGUGGAAGGCAACAGAGUCACAAGGCAUCUGGAAGUUGGGAUUUGAAAAGGCGCACGGACAAAGAUGACAAAUUCCAGGCUUCCCUUUGCCAAAUGUCUUUUUGGGCCACACUUUCUGGUAUCUACUUUAAAUAUAAGUAUGAGAUCUUUGUGCCUGCUCUGUGUUUCCACUGAGGACUAAAUAUGACAGAAGUAUAUUUUAAUGCCAUUGUUACCUAUGGCCUCUGCAUUUCCUUCCUCCCUCCUUCCCUCCCUUUCUUUCUCCCUCCCUCCUUUUCUUCUUUUUUUUUUUAUUUCUUUUGCCUAAGAGAAUGGAAUCAAAUGCUGCUAGGCGAAUCACUGCGUUUAAUUAUCUUGUUCUUGCUCUUUCUGCUUUGCUCUUAAUAUCUAAUCGUAUCCUCCUGUUUAUUCUCUUCCUCUUUCCUAAGAACAGCACAUGAAUAAACUUU